GACAGAGGUGCCAAGCGUUAGGCGGAAUCACUGGGCUUAAAGCGUGUGUAGGCGGGCUUUUAAGUCAGUGGUGAAAUCUCCGGGCUCAACCUGGAAACUGCCAUUGAUACUAUUAGUCUUGAAUUUUGUUGAGGUAGGCGGAAUAAGUCAUGUAGCGGUGAAAUGCAUAGAUAUGACUUAGAACACCAAUUGCGAAGGCAGCUUGCUAAACAAAUAUUGACGCUGAGGCACGAAAGCGUGGGGAUCAAACAGG
RNAcentral lists this ribosomal RNA (253 nucleotides) under uncultured bacterium. Its description in RNAcentral is "partial 16S ribosomal RNA". It matches the Rfam family "Bacterial small subunit ribosomal RNA", at positions 524 to 776 of the family's 1533-position model. The record is from RNAcentral.